RNAcentral lists this small nuclear RNA (164 nucleotides) under Echinops telfairi (small Madagascar hedgehog). RNAcentral describes it as "U1 spliceosomal RNA (ENSETEG00000020583.1)". It matches the Rfam family "U1 spliceosomal RNA". From Rfam's summary of the family: U1 is a small nuclear RNA (snRNA) component of the spliceosome (involved in pre-mRNA splicing). The record is from RNAcentral. Lineage: Eukaryota; Metazoa; Chordata; Mammalia; Afrosoricida; Tenrecidae.
AUACUUACCUGGCAGGGGAGAUACCAUGAUCACGAAGGUGGUUUUCGCAGGGCUAGGCUUAUCCAUUGCACUCCAGAUGUGCUGACCCCAGCGAUUUCCCCAAAUGUGGGAAACUCGACUGCUUCAUUUGUGGUAGUGGGGGACUGCAUUCACGCUCUCCCCUU